This 253-nucleotide ribosomal RNA is filed under the name uncultured bacterium. RNAcentral's name for it is "partial 16S ribosomal RNA". It matches the Rfam family "Bacterial small subunit ribosomal RNA", at positions 524 to 776 of the family's 1533-position model. The record is from RNAcentral.
UACGGAGGGUGCUAGCGUUGUUCGGAAUUACUGGGCGUAAAGCGUGCGCAGGCGGCUGCUCAAGUCAGGGGUGAAAGCCCAGAGCUCAACUCUGGAAUUGCCUUUGAGACUGAGUGGCUUGAGUACGGGAGAGGUGAGUGGAAUUCCCAGUGUAGAGGUGAAAUUCGUAGAUAUUGGGAAGAACACCGGUGGCGAAGGCGGCUCACUGGCCCGUAACUGACGCUCAUGCACGACAGCGUGGGGAUCAAACAGG